AUGGCUCAGGACGAACGCUGCGGCGUGCCUAAUACAUGCAAGUCGAACGGCUUUUCUAUGGAAGCUUGCUUCCACUGAGAAGAUAGUGGCGAACGGGUGAGUAACACGUGGGUAACCUGCCCAUAAGAGGGGGAUAACAUCCGGAAACGGGUGCUAAUACCGCAUAGUUUUCUUGAUCGCAUGAUCGGGAAAGGAAAGACGGCCUUUGUGCUGUCGCUUAUGGAUGGACCCGCGGCGUAUUAGUUAGUUGGUGAGGUAACGGCUCACCAAGACGAUGAUACGUAGCCGACCUGAGAGGGUGAUCGGCCACAUUGGGACUGAGACACGGCCCAAACUCCUACGGGAGGCAGCAGUAGGGAAUCUUCCGCAAUGGACGAAAGUCUGACGGAGCAACGCCGCGUGAGUGAAAGAAGGUUUUCGGAUCGUAAAACUCUGUUGUCAGAGAAGAACAAGUUGGAGAGUAACUGCUCCAGCCUUGACGGUAUCUGACCAGAAAGCCACGGCUAACUACGUGCCAGCCGCCGC
This 525-nucleotide ribosomal RNA is filed under the name uncultured bacterium. RNAcentral describes it as "bacterial SSU rRNA". It matches the Rfam family "Bacterial small subunit ribosomal RNA", at positions 19 to 518 of the family's 1533-position model. The record is from RNAcentral.